RNAcentral lists this ribosomal RNA (1337 nucleotides) under uncultured bacterium. RNAcentral describes it as "16S ribosomal RNA". It matches the Rfam family "Bacterial small subunit ribosomal RNA", at positions 28 to 1386 of the family's 1533-position model. The record is from RNAcentral.
GACGAACGCUGGCGGCGCGCCUAACACAUGCAAGUCGAACGAGCGAGAGAGAGCUUGCUUUCUCGAGCGAGUGGCGAACGGGUGAGUAACGCGUGAGGAACCUGCCUCAAAGAGGGGGACAACAGUUGGAAACGACUGCUAAUACCGCAUAAGCCCACGGGUCGGCAUCGACCAGAGGGAAAAGGAGCAAUCCGCUUUGAGAUGGCCUCGCGUCCGAUUAGCUGGUUGGUGAGGUAACGGCCCACCAAGGCGACGAUCGGUAGCCGGACUGAGAGGUUGAACGGCCACAUUGGGACUGAGACACGGCCCAGACUCCUACGGGAGGCAGCAGUGGGGAAUAUUGCACAAUGGGGGAAACCCUGAUGCAGCGACGCCGCGUGGAGGAAGAAGGUCUUCGGAUUGUAAACUCCUGUUGUUGGGGAAGAUAAUGACGGUACCCAACAAGGAAGUGACGGCUAACUACGUGCCAGCAGCCGCGGUAAAACGUAGGUCACAAGCGUUGUCCGGAAUUACUGGGUGUAAAGGGAGCGCAGGCGGGAAGACAAGUUGGAAGUGAAAUCUAUGGGCUCAACCCAUAAACUGCUUUCAAAACUGUUUUUCUUGAGUAGUGCAGAGGUAGGCGGAAUUCCCGGUGUAGCGGUGGAAUGCGUAGAUAUCGGGAGGAACACCAGUGGCGAAGGCGGCCUACUGGGCACCAACUGACGCUGAGGCUCGAAAGUGUGGGUAGCAAACAGGAUUAGAUACCCUGGUAGUCCACACCGUAAACGAUGAUUACUAGGUGUUGGAGGAUUGACCCCUUCAGUGCCGCAGUUAACACAAUAAGUAAUCCACCUGGGGAGUACGACCGCAAGGUUGAAACUCAAAGGAAUUGACGGGGGCCCGCACAAGCAGUGGAGUAUGUGGUUUAAUUCGACGCAACGCGAAGAACCUUACCAAGUCUUGACAUCCCUUGACAGACAUAGAAAUAUGUAUUCUCUUCGGAGCAAGGAGACAGGUGGUGCAUGGUUGUCGUCAGCUCGUGUCGUGAGAUGUUGGGUUAAGUCCCGCAACGAGCGCAACCCUUAUGGUCAGUUACUACGCAAGAGGACUCUGGCCAGACUGCCGUUGACAAAACGGAGGAAGGUGGGGAUGACGUCAAAUCAUCAUGCCCUUUAUGACUUGGGCUACACACGUACUACGAUGGCGUUAAACAAAGAGAAGCAAGACCGCGAGGUGGAGCAAAACUCAGAAACAACGUCCCAGUUCGGACUGCAGGCUGCAACUCGCCUGCACGAAGUCGGAAUUGCUAGUAAUCGUGGAUCAGCAUGCCACGGUGAAUACGUUCCCGGGCCUUGCAC